AUACAUACACCUAAUC
Molecule: small RNA, 16 nt
Filed under: Arabidopsis thaliana (thale cress)
Lineage: Eukaryota; Viridiplantae; Streptophyta; Magnoliopsida; Brassicales; Brassicaceae
Description: ATSL069830
Source: RNAcentral